UCNUCUGGCUCAGCUGGGGGCGUGCGGUGGGUACGGGCUGGCUUGAGUGCGGUAGGGGAGGCUGGAACUCCUGGUGUAGCGGUGGAAUGCGCAGAUAUCAGGAGGAACACCGGUGGCGAAGGCGGGUCUCUGGGCCGUUACUGACGCUGAGGAGCGAAAGCGUGGGGAGCGAACAGGAUUAGAUACCCUGGUAGUCCACGCUGUAAACGUUGGGCACUAGGUGUGGGGGGUCUUUCCGGGUCCUCCGCGCCGUAGCUAACGCAUUAAGUGCCCCGCCUGGGGAGUACGGCCGCAAGGCUAAAACUCAAAGGAAUUGACGGGGGCCCGCACGAGCGGCGGAGCAUGCGGAUUAAUUCGAUGCAACGCGAAGAACCUUACCAAGGCUUGACAUGUGCCGGUUGUCCUUCGGAGACGGGGGGUCCUCCCUAUUUGUGGGGGUCGGUUCACAGGUGGUGCAUGGUUAUCGUCAGCUCGUGUCGUGAGAUGUUGGGUUAAGUCCCGCAACGAGCGCAACCCUUGUCCCGUGUUGCCAGCACGUCGUGGUGGGGACUCGCGGGAGACUGCCGGGGUUAACUCGGAGGAGGGUGGGGAUGACGUCAAAUCAUCAUGCCCCUUAUGUCUUGGGCUUCACGCAUGCUACAAUGGCCGGUACAGUGGGUUGCGAUGUCGUGAGGCGGAGCGAAUCCCUUAAAGCCGGUCUCAGUUCGGAUCGGUGUCUGCAACUCGACACCGUGAAGCUGGAGUCGCUAGUAAUCGCAGAUCAGCAGCGCUGCGGUGAAUACGUUCUCGGGCCUUGUACACACCGCCCGUCACGUCAUGAAAGCUGGCAACACCCGAAGCCCGUGGCCCUAUGGGGAGCGG
This 861-nucleotide ribosomal RNA is filed under the name uncultured bacterium. RNAcentral describes it as "bacterial SSU rRNA". It matches the Rfam family "Bacterial small subunit ribosomal RNA", at positions 600 to 1455 of the family's 1533-position model. The record is from RNAcentral.